ACUGUGAGACCAGAAGCUUCGUUCUUGUCUUCUCCUUCCUCUGCCUCACCGCGUCGUCGGCACUAGAGCAUCAAAGUCCCGUCCGUCGUUGCUGAGGUGUUUGUGCAACUUCUUCCUUCCUUCCUUCCUUGUUCUGCACCUCUAUUUUAUAGAGAGCUCCAGAAACCACUGAGAAAAUGAGAGAACUUUGUUCUUCCUCCACAUACUUCUUCUAUCAUAAGCGUCGCCGGCGAGGGUGAGGUUGCGGAAGGGCUUGGUCGCUGGAGAAGCUUGUGGUGUUGCCGUUAGAUGUUGCUGUUAGCCUCUCAUUUUCCUUUCUCGCUGUAGCUAUGUCAGAAUCCUUUCCUCCCCUGUUCAAUGUUGUGCGAUCCUUUUUCUCUCCUUGCUUUUUCUGCUGCUGAUAGAAAGGUGUUUAGAAGAAAUAAGACUUGACUUUAAAGAGUGAAUUUGUACUUGGGGAUAGUACAGAACACUGGAUGCUAACGGCAGUCCCGUUAGCCCUUGGCGCGUCAUGGUACACCUAGCUAGCAGGGUGUUUACAGGAGGUGCUAGCCCCGUGCGAUGGC
Prosopis cineraria is the source of this 566-nucleotide long non-coding RNA. RefSeq lists it as uncharacterized. Lineage: Eukaryota; Viridiplantae; Streptophyta; Magnoliopsida; Fabales; Fabaceae. The record is from RefSeq and is a predicted model, not a curated record. The transcript is spliced from 3 exons.